Molecule: long non-coding RNA, 4762 nt
Filed under: Homo sapiens (human)
Lineage: Eukaryota; Metazoa; Chordata; Mammalia; Primates; Hominidae
Description: HSALNT0249543
Source: RNAcentral
GAGACUUGUAAUCAUCCUAAAUGCCUGUUUUAACUGCCUACUGCAUACAUUCAUACACACAAGAGAGCUUGCAAUGUAGCAUUUGAACUGGAAUGACAAUUCAACCAUGUCUUUGAAACCUGAGAAAUUGUCCUGUGUCUCAAUCCAAAGCAAUAGCUGGGAAAUGGUUUAGCAAUGGACACUUAUUAUCUCGCUGCUAGCCAUGCAUACUAGUAAUACCUGCUAAUGCACACAUUUCAGCAGCCAGCUUUUCAGUGCUAUGAAUAUUUUAGCCAAUAUUUAAUACCAUCAAUAUUUAACUGCACUGUUUGGACCAGUAUUAGAUAUUUGGACUCACCAAUGAAUAGGAGACAGUAUGGGUCAGGGUUCAAGGAGAACAGACUAUACCUCAAGUAGUUCUAGCAAAAAUAUUAAUUAAGAGUAUUAAUUGUUUACAGACUUGUUGAGAAGCCUGAGAAAACACAUUCCAAGUUGAAUAUGUAGGAAGUAACAUUGAGCCACACUGCAGAACAAUGUCACCAUGGGAGCUAGUUCUACAUCAACUGGCUCCAGGAGUAAACCACCACUACUACACUUACAAAACUACCCCCAUCAGGACAAAGCCACAACCAAGAAACAUCAAUUAGCAGGAAGCAAUUGCAGAAAAAUAAGGCACCUCCAAAAUAGUUCUUUCCAGAAUCAAAGCAUAUGAGAAACACAAACCAGGCCUCUGCCUCACUUCUGCCUUCUAGGGUAUGUACAAAAGCACCUGAUGGAUGGAAUCAAAAUUGUGGCCAAAAUCCUAAAUGCGAAUGAGGCUGAGAAAUUUAGCUAUUACGUUUCUGGCUUAUAAACUGCAGGAAGGUACAUGAGAAGGAACAGGGAAUUGAUGUUUUCAGUGCUGGGUCAAUUUGAGUAAUAGUUUUUCAGGCCUUCGAAUUUGACUCAAAGUAACUCUUGGCAUGAUCAGAAGAAGAACUGUGUGGGCACGUGUCCCUUCACUGCCACUGUACCAGUUCCUCACCUCCUUUUUCUAGUUGCAUUCCUAGAGAAGAUGCUGGAUCAUUAAUUUCCAUAUAGCAAAUAGCAAGACGGAGGAGUAUAAAAUGGGACUGUGAUGACACACAGAGAUCCAUUCCUGCUAACUUUAGGUUGAGUUUUUUUAAAUGUCACAUUUUGUUUAAAUUACAGGUGGUUGAAAUUGUUACUUUUGCCUUCAGCAAACUUACAAGAAGAAGAGAAAAUCAAUAUGACCUAGAGAAGAGCCUUCAAUUCUGAGAUAAGCUGACAGCUGCUGUGAGGAAAAUUACAAAGAUAAAACCACCGAGACUAGGAAACUGCUGGGAGCAGAAGUUUUCAAGGUUCACCUUGAGACCUCAGCUUAGCACAUCUUUUCACACAUAAAAUACCAGAAGAUGCAUACAAACAUGAAAACAAAUGGAAUUAUUUGGAAAGUUAAGAAUUCUGUAGAAUCCAACGUCAGCAGAAUAGCAGACUAAAAAGCUCCAAAUGCUUUUCCUCCAAAGAAACGUUAAAAAACAACAACAAAACACCCUGAAAUGAUCUAAACCAACUUUGAAUGAACUCUGAAAACAAAGGUUUGUAGCAACCAAGCAAACACCCAAUCAAGAAGAAGACAUCUCCAAAACGGUAGGAGACAUUUUGUGGUGUUUUUACUUUCUCCACUCCGUCCCUGGCCCAGUGGCAAUCUUGGUAUUGGAAAAAGCAACUCAGUUUCUAGUUCCCCUCAUCCUCAAAUUGAAGGGAGCAGAACAUACCUUAUUUGCAAAUUACUGGGCAUAUCUGUUCUAACCUGGUUGGAGGUUAUUUGAAGAACUGAUGCGCUAGUCUCUGUCUGGCAUAAUUUGGAAUACAGGCAAAGAAAGAGGUCCUCAUAAAAGCUAUAAGGAACUACAAACCCACACAUGCUUGGGAUAGGAGAUCACACAUAAUAGACCAUCUAAGGCCCAGAGAGGAAGCUGGGGUAAGACUCUGGGAAAUUAGGACAUUGAAUAGUAACUGCUUACAUACACACGGGACUUUAGAGAGUCACAAGUGCAUGUCCAGCCAAGACUCAUGCUCAGAAAUGUCCUGAGAAGACCUUAAGCUUUCACCUCAAGGUGAGACCUAGGAUCAAAGCAAGCCUAGCUAACCGGUGAAUGGCUACCCCUGCAUGAAGUACAUUUGUGUAGACUGGGAGAGGUAGUUGUUCUUUCUUUUCAGUCUUUUGUGUGUGUGUGUGGUGGCGGGGUGGGCAAGGGGGUGUUUUUGUUUAUUUGUCUGUUUCAGCUCCUGGCAUUCAAGGAAAUCUCUUUCAAAGCAUUUGCCGAACAUGAGCUGAAGGAACAGAGGCUUCAAUGAGUACAUAUAACAAGAAUAAUUGCUGCAUAGUUUAAAAAUGUCUCAAAACAGAUGGAUUACUGAAGCUUUUAACAAUUAAAAAAAUAGAAAGUCUUGAAGAAUGGGGAAAAUCUGAUUUUCAGAGUUACCGCAUUAUAAUAAUGAAAUGGCCAAUUUGCAACAACAACAAAAUAAUCACUAGGUAUAUAAGGAAGAGGAAAACAUGGCUCAUUCAAAGGAACAAAAUAAAUUGACAUAAACUGGCUGGGAGGAAGCCUAGACAUCACACUUACCAGACAAAAAAAUUUAAAACAACUGUCUUAAAUGUGCCCAAAGAGCUAAAGCAAAAUUACAAAUCUGUUUUAAAAAAUUGAAGUGAAAAAGGGAAAUAGGAGGAAAAUAAAAUACACAUCCCAAUUCCCUUAUCUAUAGUAGCUGAGACUCAAAAUAUUUAAUAUAUCAUAUAAAGAGGGCAAUUCAAGUAACAGAAGUCUCAGCAUAUUUAAAAGUACAGAGGUAAACACUAUGAAAGACAAUACUAUUGACUAAAAUUGUGUAGUGAGGAGAUGUAAAAAAAAAAAAAAAGAGAGAGAAGAGGUAAUAGGCUAAUUUUACCACCACCUAACGUUACUUUAAUAUCCACAAGUGAAAAAAGCAUUAUAGUAAGUUUUGCGAUCAGAAAGUGUGAUCUUCCAACUUUGUUUUCUUUUUCGUUUGGUUUGGCUAUUGGCCUUGAGUUUCCUUAUCAGUUUUAGUAUCAGUUUGUCAAAUUCUGCAAAGACACCAGUUAGGAUUCUGAUAGGAAUUGUGUUGAAUCUGAAAUCAAUCUAGGGUUUAUUGCCAUCUUAACAAUAUUCUGUAUUUUUCAAAAAGCCACUUAGAUCAGUCUCUAUCCUGAAAUCUUAACCUAAUCAAUUUUCCAGAAUUUUUAACAGAAUUUAAAAAAAAUAGGCCAUAAUUCACGUAAUGUUGACAAGGUAUGGAAAAUAAAUAAAUUUUAUCAUAGAAAUUAUAUCAAGUACAUUUAUUUAUUUAUUUACUUAUUUAUUUAUUUAUUUAUUUAAUAUUUUUUUGAGACGGAUUCUUGCUGUCGCCCAGGCUGGAGUGCAAUGGCGCAAUCUCGGCUCACUGCAACUUACACCUCCCAGGUUCAAGCCAUUCUCCUGCCUCAGCCUCCCAGGUAGCUGGGACUACAGGCAUGUGCCCCCAAGCCCAGCUAAUUUUUUUGUAUUUUUAGUAGAGAUAGGGUUUCACCAUGCUGUACAAGCUGGUCUCAAACUCCUGACCUCAAGUGAUCCACCCACUUCUGCCUCCCAAAGUGCUGGGAUAACAGACGUGAGCCACCACGCCCAGUCGAGUACGUUUAUUUGAUUCGUGUCAAAGCAGCAGGAAGAAACACUUAUAAAUAUCUACCCACCACACCCGAAUUGCACUGAGUUUUAUGGUGUGUUAAAAUAAAGCAUCUGGUUUUAAAUAAAGAAGGGAAAAGCAAAGAAAAUAAAACAAUGUAUUAACUAUGAAUUAAGGUACAGCUGAAGUAAUUAACAAUAGAUUAAAUGGAUCAAUAAUUACCAUAUCAUACAUUAGUCAUGUUUGACACCUUCCAAAAAGUAUCUAAAAUAUGUUACCUGGACACAUACAUAAACUCAGGGGUAGAAUUAACUCCGUAGUAAAACAAUUUGACAAGUGACCUUACCUCUAUUUAUAGAGAAUGUCAGUAAACACAAUUGAUACGAUUUUUAUUAUAAAAGUUACAGAAAUUUCCAGAUUUAAUCACCUAGAAAACUUUGUUUUAAUCUGCUUAAUCAUAAGGAAGAUUGUUCCAUGUAUUUGUUUGACAGGCUCCUCGGAAUCUAAAUAUUUAUAUAUUUUGCCUUUCUUACCACCAUGUAAAUUGUAGAACCGUUGGUGCAAAGAUCAAAAGAAAACCUAGACUGAGGGACCAAAAGAUGGCAUAAGGUUUGGAAGGAUAUGUGGGCUCUGUGUGAAGGGAAUGUUUUCCAAGCAUUGUAACAAGAGUGCAUUGACUUGAGGUGGAGACAAAACAUUAAAAGGUAACGUAAGCUGGCUGGAGGGAAAACAUCAGAUCUGAAAUCAGAUCAGGCUCGUUGCUGUGAAGAUAUGUUAGAAGGCAAGUUAGAGUCCCAUUGUUAGAAGAAGAACAAGAUGCCAAAUGUUGAUCCUGGCAGCUUAAGUUCUCAAAAACAUUUGCUGGUUCAUGUCUUUUUAUAUAUUCCCUGGAUAUUCCAGAGUCACUCACAUAGGGCCUCCACUAUGACGUGCAAAUAAGGCAUCUGGCAAGUGGCAAAGCCAGGAUGCAAACUCAGUUCUAACUGUGGGUUAGAACAAAGGAGCAGAAAAAAAUAACAUAACCAUCCUGGCUAACACGGUGAAACCCCGUCUCUACUAAAAAUACAAAAAAUUAGCCGGGCGCGGUGGCGGG